CCGCACGCGCGCUACACUGACAGANCCAGCGAGUANAUCACCUUGGCCGAAAGGUCUGGGUAAUCUUGUUAAACUCUGUCGUGCUGGGGAUAGANCAUUGCAAUUNUUGCUCUUCAACGAGGAAUGCCUAGUAAGCGCAAGUCAUCAGCUUGCGUUGAUUACGU
This 164-nucleotide ribosomal RNA is filed under the name uncultured eukaryote. RNAcentral's name for it is "partial 18S ribosomal RNA". It matches the Rfam family "Eukaryotic small subunit ribosomal RNA", at positions 1487 to 1650 of the family's 1831-position model. The record is from RNAcentral.